Molecule: ribosomal RNA, 273 nt
Filed under: uncultured prokaryote
Description: partial 16S ribosomal RNA
Rfam family: Bacterial small subunit ribosomal RNA
Source: RNAcentral
UACGGAGGGUGCGAGCGUUAAUCGGAAUUACUGGGCGUAAAGCGUGCGUAGGCGGAUGGGUCAGUCAGCCGUGAAAGCCCCGGGCUCAACCUGGGAACGGCGGUUGAGACGGCCCGUCUCGAGUGGGCUAGAGGAUCGUGGAAUUCCGGGUGUAGCGGUGAAAUGCGUAGAGAUCCGGAGGAACACCGAUGGCGAAGGCAGCGGUCUGGGGCCACACUGACGCUGAGGCACGAAAGCGUGGGGAGCAAACAGGAUUAGAUACCCUAGUAGUCC